This 510-nucleotide ribosomal RNA is filed under the name uncultured bacterium. RNAcentral's name for it is "bacterial SSU rRNA". It matches the Rfam family "Bacterial small subunit ribosomal RNA", at positions 355 to 857 of the family's 1533-position model. The record is from RNAcentral.
UGGGGAAUAUUGGACAAUGGGGCAACCCUGAUCCAGCAACGCCGCGUGGGGGAUGAAGGUCCUAGGAUUGUAAACCCCUGUUGGGAGGGACGAAGGCUUGCGGGCGAACAGUCCGUACGCUUGACGGUACCUCCAGAAGAAGCCCCGGCUAACUACGUGCCAGCAGCCGCGGUAAUACGUAGGGGGCGAGCGUUGUCCGGAUUUACUGGGCGUAAAGAGCGUGUAGGCGGCCAGGCAGGUCCGUUGUGAAAACUGGAGGCUCAACCUUCAGACGUCGACGGAAACCGCUUGGCUAGAGUCCGGAAGAGGAGAGUGGAAUUCCUGGUGUAGCGGUGAAAUGCGCAGAUAUCAGGAAGAACACCAAUGGCGAAGGCAGCUCUCUGGGACGGUACUGACGCUGAGACGCGAAAGCGUGGGGAGCGAACAGGAUUAGAUACCCUGGUAGUCCACGCCGUAAACGAUGGGUGCUAGGUGUGGGAGGUGUCGACUCCUCCCGUGCCGCAGCUAACG